Molecule: unclassified non-coding RNA, 358 nt
Filed under: Hevea brasiliensis (rubber tree)
Lineage: Eukaryota; Viridiplantae; Streptophyta; Magnoliopsida; Malpighiales; Euphorbiaceae
Source: RNAcentral
AAAAAACAAAGAAAGAUAGAAGAUGCCAUUUUCUCUUCCCAGGGGACAUUGAAGUAAUUUUUCAAUGAUUGAAAAGCUAAAUGGUAUAAAGUAUUUAGACCUAAUUCUUGUACUUCAUUUCAGACAUCAGAAAUCCAGGCAUGUCAAAUGAGGAAGCAAACUUCUCAACAUCAACCUUCAGGGCCUCGAUCUCCUUGUUGUUCACGAGACCCUUAUUGAAGUCCUUCAAGAGCUUUCCAUGUUCCUUUUGGAUGCUCAAAGUAAUGGUUACAGCACGGUGGAGGAAUUCUCCAAUCUGCUCAAAGUCUUUCUCAACCAAACCUCUUGAAGUCAUGGCUGGCGUACCAAUUCUUACACC